GAUGAAGAACGUAGCGAAAUGCGAUACGUAAUGUGAAUUGCAGAAUUCAGUGAAUCAUCGAGUCUUUGAACGCACAUUGCGCCCCCUGGUAUUCCGGGGGGCAUGCCUGUUCGAGCGUCAUUUCACCACUCAAGCCUGGCUUGGUGUUGGGCGACGUCCUCUUUGGGGACGCGCCUCGAAACGCUCGGCGGCGUGGCACCGGCUUUAAGCGUAGCAGAAUCUUUCGCUUUGGAAGUCGGGGCCCCGUCUGCCGGAAGACCUGCUCGCAAGGUUGACCUCGGAUCAGGCAGGGAUACCCGCUGAACUUAAGCAUAUCAAUAAGCGGAGGA
This 329-nucleotide unclassified non-coding RNA is filed under the name soil metagenome. RNAcentral's name for it is "partial contains 5.8S ribosomal RNA, internal transcribed spacer 2, and large subunit ribosomal RNA". The stretch from base 1 to 120 matches the Rfam family "5.8S ribosomal RNA", at positions 35 to 154 of the family's 154-position model. The record is from RNAcentral.